This 500-nucleotide long non-coding RNA is filed under the name Gossypium raimondii (Peruvian cotton). Its description in RNAcentral is "long non-coding RNA (GRAI_LNC002534)". Lineage: Eukaryota; Viridiplantae; Streptophyta; Magnoliopsida; Malvales; Malvaceae. The record is from RNAcentral.
AAAAUAAUACAAAAAAAUAAAAUAGAAAAAAAAGGCUACGAUUGAUGUGACGGGACAUUGGAGGAGGAGGUGCCAGAGGCGGCACCAGUUGUGCCUUUGGCAGAGGCGGCACUGGCCCUAUAAUGGUUCCUAUUCGGCUGGUGGUGGGGGGAAGAGAAGGAGAGGGAAAGGAGAAGAAAGAAAAAGAAAGAAAAAGAAAGGAAAGGAGAGGGAAGAAAGAAAAAGAAUGAAAGAAAAGGAAAGAAGAAGAAAAAAGAAAGAAAAAGAAGGAAAGAAAAGGAAAGGAGAAGAAGAAGAGGGAAGGAAAAGAAAGAAAGAAAGGUAAUUUUUGUUUUAUUAAUUUAAAUUUUUUGUAAUAUUUGUGUAAAAAAUUUAUGUUAUGUACAUUGUAUGUGUUUUAUUAUUUUAUUUAGCAUAUAUAUAUUAUGAAAUUUAUUUAGCAUGAAAAAAUUCAUAUUAUGUACAUUGUAUGUUGAUUAGGAAUUUUUUUUAUGAAAUUU